Molecule: transfer RNA, 67 nt
Filed under: Klebsiella pneumoniae
Lineage: Bacteria; Pseudomonadati; Pseudomonadota; Gammaproteobacteria; Enterobacterales; Enterobacteriaceae
Description: tRNA-Val
Source: RNAcentral
UGAUUAGCUCAGCUGGGAGAGCACCUCCCUUACAAGGAGGGGGUCGGCGGUUCGACAUUUAACUCAG